CUAUUUUGUUGGCUAUAUAUGUAUACAUUUUCUGAGGUUUGAUCUGCUAUAAUUUGGUCAAAUUGGGUAUUAUUGAUUAGAUACUGUGUGUGCUUAUUAUGGAACUGAUAUUUGGUAGGCAUAGAGUCAAGCCUUAAAUAAAGAUCUAAGGAUCCUGCUCUCCUCCAAUAAUGACUCAGUGAUCAGAAGUUAGACUCAACCUGACCAUAUGCCUUAGAACAAUGAAGAUGAAUCUUUUAGAGACUGAGUGCCCAAACUGCAACCCUCAUACCACAGGUGAGCCCCUCCUUUACCCAAAACAUGAGAGGGAGGAAGCACUACCAUUGGCCUGAUGGACAAAGGGACAGGUGAUGUAAGAAAUGUCCUCAGGAAGGGAAUAGCCCCCCUCUGACAUGUGUCACACAGGUUCACCAACAUGGCCUUAGAAUAAUAAUAUUUAAAGGAAUAGCUAGCUAUAACUCAGGUCUUCUAUUCCCUCUCUCUGAGAAGAAUAGAAUAGCCAAGUUUUGGAGCCAAGCCAACUGCUUCUUCUCCUGACAUGAAUUAGUAACCUUUGGAGAUGGGAUGAAUAAGAAGAGUCUCAAGAUGUCUAUUGUGUUACCCUUAACAUCAUACAAUGACAGACUUCGUGCUACACAUGAUGCUUCCUUGCCACAGUAACAGCCUCUGUGUCCAGUCUCUGCUCUUGGAAGAGUUUGAAGUGGAAUGUUGGCCCUGCAACCUCUCAUGCAUCCAGCUUUGCAAAAUCCCUUUCCUACAGUAUUGAUUGUAAGAGAGAAGCAGCUUCAACUAUGAGAUUGGAAGAGGCAAUGGAAUGGAACAAAAAAGAGAGCAUAUCUUCAACAGAGGAAAAGUUGGAGACACUGGAAGCACAAAUUGAGGGAGAUUUCAACUCACACUCUUAUGCUGCUUAUUUAGCAUAAUAUGUUUACUGUUAAUGAAUGUUUAACAUUCUAGUCUGGUUAGGCCAGUCUAAUGAAUAUAACCGUCUUUAAACUGUAGAUCGCUUUCAAUGAAAAUGUGAUAACAUAGCAAGAUUAUACAUUUCAUAUCCUUAAAACAAAUAAUCUCACUUCUGGGCUUAUACUCAUGAGGAUGUCAAAGGCUAGAAAUAAAAUUCCAAU
This 1124-nucleotide long non-coding RNA is filed under the name Monodelphis domestica (gray short-tailed opossum). RNAcentral describes it as "lncRNA (ENSMODG00000049453.1)". Lineage: Eukaryota; Metazoa; Chordata; Mammalia; Didelphimorphia; Didelphidae. The record is from RNAcentral.